UUAUUUCUCUUCUCAUAUCCCAUCGCUCGCUAGGGUUGCACUGCGGCGGCGGCGGCGACUCCGGCGGGCGGCCUCGAGCUCCGGCUCGCCCAACCCUCCGCUCUCCAUCCUGGGCAGUCAAGCGCCGUCCGAAGCUCCUCCGUCCGCGCCGACCGUCCUCUACUCGACAGUCGGUACUGCCCCAAGCUUUUCCGUCCGCGCGACCAGUCCCUCCGCACCUUCCUUCUCCCUGAACCCACGUCACCCUCCACCCCGCAGCCUCGAAUUGACCUCCUGCCGCACGGACUGCACCCGUCGGCGCCGCGCCGCCUCCUGCCCCUCCCCUGCACUCGUCGUCGUCGGUCGCCGGCUCGCCGCCACCCACCAGGUCGCCGCCUCGCCGGUCGCCUUCACCCCCCGGGCCCCGCGCCCCCGCCUGCCGCGCGCCCACGCGGCCACGCCCCCACGCUGUUCUUGCCUGAAAUUUGGUUGCUGGUCGGAUACGCCGGCGCUGGAGUGCUUCAAGGCGAUCGAGCAGCGGCCCGGCCGGGCUGACCAGCUCCUGUUCUGGUGCGAGUAUUGCUGGGGGUGCCAACUGGCAUAGAGCAAUAUAUUCAUCGAGGACUAACCUAUUACAGAAGCAACACAACCAUUAAUUGAUCAGGACAGUAAGAACAAGGUGAGGAAGAUGUAUCCUUCAGUGAUCUAGAAGAUGACUGAGGGACUGGACUGCUCAUAUGCAAUCAACUAUUGGAGCUAGAUGGUGGCUUCAUGAAGAACACUAGCUGCUACCUAAAAGCUCUGGCUGCGCGACAUCAUAGUUUCGGGAUUGAAGUAGCAGCAACGCAGAAUCAGGAUAACAAUGCCUCUGAGGCAUCCUCGUUGUAUGUUGAUGCAUCUACAAAGUCAGUUUUUCUCUGUACAUAAAGUUCCACACUUUGUUCUGCUUUCCUGCUGUACCAGCGCCCCUGCAUACUGCUGUUGGUUUGGGAUUCCAAAUGUAAUAUAUUAGAAUCAUCCAUAGCUGUCAAAUAUUAUCACGGUUACACGGUA
Long non-coding RNA from Setaria italica (foxtail millet), 1032 nucleotides. RefSeq lists it as uncharacterized. The record is from RefSeq and is a predicted model, not a curated record. Lineage: Eukaryota; Viridiplantae; Streptophyta; Magnoliopsida; Poales; Poaceae. The transcript is spliced from 4 exons.